Molecule: ribosomal RNA, 372 nt
Filed under: uncultured bacterium
Lineage: Bacteria
Description: bacterial SSU rRNA
Rfam family: Bacterial small subunit ribosomal RNA
Source: RNAcentral
ACAGAGGGUGCGAGCGUUAAUCGGAAUCACUGGGCGUAAAGGGUGCGUAGGUGGUCGAAUAAGUCAGAUGUGAAAUCCCUGGGCUCAACCUAGGCAUUGCAUUUGGUACUGUUCGGCUAGAGUGCAGUAGAGGAAUGUGGAAUUUCCGGUGUAGCGGUGAAAUGCGUAGAUAUCGGAAGGAACAUCAGUGGCGAAGGCGACAUUCUGGACUGUAACUGACACUGAGGCACGAAAGCGUGGGGAGCGAACAGGAUUAGAUACCCUGGUAGUCCACGCCGUAAACUAUGAGAACUGGAUGUUUGGGGGCUUGUCUCCUAAGUAUCGAAGCUAACGCGUUAAGUUCUCCGCCUGGGGAGUACGGCCGCAAGGUUA